This 484-nucleotide ribosomal RNA is filed under the name uncultured bacterium. RNAcentral describes it as "partial 16S ribosomal RNA". It matches the Rfam family "Bacterial small subunit ribosomal RNA", at positions 30 to 507 of the family's 1533-position model. The record is from RNAcentral.
AUUGAACGCUGGCGGCAGGCCUAACACAUGCAAGUCGAGCGGAUGAAGGGAGCUUGCUCCUGGAUUCAGCGGCGGACGGGUGAGUAAUGCCUAGGAAUCUGCCUGGUAGUGGGGGAUAACGUCCGGAAACGGGCGCUAAUACCGCAUACGUCCUGAGGGAGAAAGAGGGGGAUCUUCGGACCUCACGCUAUCAGAUGAGCCUAGGUCGGAUUAGCUAGUUGGUGGGGUAAAGGCCUACCAAGGCGACGAUCCGUAACUGGUCUGAGAGGAUGAUCAGUCACACUGGAACUGAGACACGGUCCAGACUCCUACGGGAGGCAGCAGUGGGGAAUAUUGGACCAUGGGCGAAAGCCUGAUCCAGCCAUGCCGCGUGUGUGAAGAAGGUCUUCGGAUUGUAAAGCACUUUAAGUUGGGAGGAAGGGCAGUAAGUUAAUACCUUGCUGUUUUGACGUUACCAACGGAAUAAGCACCGGCUAACUUCGUG